Long non-coding RNA from Tachysurus fulvidraco (yellow catfish), 395 nucleotides. RefSeq lists it as uncharacterized. The transcript has 3 exons. The record is from RefSeq and is a predicted model, not a curated record. NCBI's taxonomy places the organism in Eukaryota, Metazoa, Chordata, Actinopteri, Siluriformes, Bagridae.
GGAUCAGCUUUCCAGCGCUGGAGAGAACUGAAGGAGCGAGAAGGCCUGCGAUGGGCCACCAAUGUUGCUUUUUUCCUUCUCGAUAGUUGGGGCACUCUGACAGAAAAGAAGGGAUAGAUGAGGAGCUGAGUGAGGAUAAAGGUUUCUCAGCAGAGUGGCAGUGAAGGGGCUCCGCAAAAACAGACCCAGAGAGGCAUCGGGAAAGCGGGAUGGCACUUUUCAUGACACACACUGAAAGAGACAAAGAACACUAAGGCGUGUGGUAAGAAGGAGCGGUUCUCUGAAACCUCCAGGCUGCGUUUGGGUUUGAGUUGAGUGAGAGGUCCUGCACUAGUCACAAUUGAUGGCAAGGAGGCUUGAGACUGGUCCAAACAGAACAGGACAAGGAGGAAACU